This 107-nucleotide small nucleolar RNA is filed under the name Phaseolus vulgaris (common bean). RNAcentral describes it as "Plant small nucleolar RNA R71". It matches the Rfam family "Plant small nucleolar RNA R71". Rfam says of the family: R71 is a member of the C/D box family of snoRNAs containing the C (UGAUGA) and D (CUGA) box motifs. Multiple nearly identical copies of this snoRNA have been identified in Arabidopsis, and it is thought to function as a 2'-O-ribose methylation guide for 18S ribosomal RNA. The record is from Rfam by way of RNAcentral. Lineage: Eukaryota; Viridiplantae; Streptophyta; Magnoliopsida; Fabales; Fabaceae.
AACUCAUGAUUUGGACAUUUUCUUAGCAUCACUCUAAACCUUUCCCAUGCUUCACAAAAGACUUCAUCUAAUCCUUGUCUAAACAUAGAAAUAUCAGACUUUGAUUU